This 487-nucleotide ribosomal RNA is filed under the name marine sediment bacterium ISA-7324. Its description in RNAcentral is "bacterial SSU rRNA". It matches the Rfam family "Bacterial small subunit ribosomal RNA", at positions 20 to 489 of the family's 1533-position model. The record is from RNAcentral.
UGGCUCAGGAUGAACGCUGGCGGCGUGCCUAAUACAUGCAAGUCGAGCGAACUGAUUAGAAGCUUGCUUCUAUGACGUUAGCGGCGGACGGGUGAGUAACACGUGGGCAACCUGCCUGUAAGACUGGGAUAACUUCGGGAAACCGAAGCUAAUACCGGAUAGGAUCUUCUCCUUCAUGGGAGAUGAUUGAAAGAUGGUUUCGGCUAUCACUUACAGAUGGGCCCGCGGUGCAUUAGCUAGUUGGUGAGGUAACGGCUCACCAAGGCAACGAUGCAUAGCCGACCUGAGAGGGUGAUCGGCCACACUGGGACUGAGACACGGCCCAGACUCCUACGGGAGGCAGCAGUAGGGAAUCUUCCGCAAUGGACGAAAGUCUGACGGAGCAACGCCGCGUGAGUGAUGAAGGCUUUCGGGUCGUAAAACUCUGUUGUUAGGGAAGAACAAGUACAAGAGUAACUGCUUGUACCUUGACGGUACCAACCAGAAA